CCCCUGGUGGUCCAAUGGUUAAGACUCCAUGCUUCCAUCACAGGGGACUCAGGUUCGAUCCCUGGCCAGGGAA
Ovis aries (sheep) is the source of this 73-nucleotide transfer RNA. It matches the Rfam family "tRNA". From Rfam's summary of the family: Transfer RNA (tRNA) molecules are approximately 80 nucleotides in length. Their secondary structure includes four short double-helical elements and three loops (D, anti-codon, and T loops). Further hydrogen bonds mediate the characteristic L-shaped molecular structure. tRNAs have two regions of fundamental functional importance: the anti-codon, which is responsible for specific mRNA codon recognition, and the 3' end, to which the tRNAs corresponding amino acid is attached (by aminoacyl-tRNA synthetases). tRNAs cope with the degeneracy of the genetic code in two manners: having more than one tRNA (with a specific anti-codon) for a particular amino acid; and 'wobble' base-pairing, i.e. permitting non-standard base-pairing at the 3rd anti-codon position. NCBI's taxonomy places the organism in Eukaryota, Metazoa, Chordata, Mammalia, Artiodactyla, Bovidae. The record is from Rfam.